RNAcentral lists this ribosomal RNA (253 nucleotides) under uncultured bacterium. RNAcentral's name for it is "partial 16S ribosomal RNA". It matches the Rfam family "Bacterial small subunit ribosomal RNA", at positions 524 to 776 of the family's 1533-position model. The record is from RNAcentral.
UACGGAGGGUGCAAGCGUUGUCCGGAUUUAUUGGGUUUAAAGGGUGCGUAGGCGGCCCGUUAAGUCAGUGGUGAAAUCCCAGGGCUCAACCCUGGAACUGCCAUUGAUACUGACGGGCUUGAGUUCGGUUAAGGCGGGCGGAACUGGUGGUGUAGCGGUGAAAUGCAUAGAUAUCUGGAGGAACACCGGUGGCGAAGGCGGCAUCCUGGACCGGUAUUGACGCUGAGGCGCGAAAGCCAGGGGAGCAAACGGG